Molecule: ribosomal RNA, 280 nt
Filed under: uncultured bacterium
Lineage: Bacteria
Description: partial 16S ribosomal RNA
Rfam family: Bacterial small subunit ribosomal RNA
Source: RNAcentral
UGCCAGCCGCCGCGGUAAAACGUAGGACGCGAACGUUAUCCGGAAUUACUGGGCGUAAAGGGCGCACAGGCGGUACUUCAAGUCGGGCAUGAAAGCUCCCUGGCUAAACCGGGAGAGGAUGUCCGGGACUGGAGGACUAGAGUACGAUAGAGGGGUGUAGAAUUCCGCGUGUAGUGGUGAAAUGCGUAGAGAUGCGGAGGAAUACCAGUGGCGAAGGCGGCACCCUGGAUCGUAACUGACGCUGAGGCGCGAAAGCAUGGGUAGCGAACGGGAUUAGAUA